CUCCUGUGGCAUAAAAGUUGUUAAUGCUGCUGAAAUUGAAACAAUAAUAAAACCAUUAUGUUUUGUGAGAGCCUACAGUUACAAAAUGAGAGCUCCUUAAUUGUCAUAGGGUAAUUUUAUAAGGAGGUGGGGAGCUUACAGAGAGUAAAUGAAUUGCAAAGACUUAGGUCUUACCUACCUAACAGCUAUUAAAUAACAUUUCAAAAUAAAUAGCAUUUAAAUACUUUUCAAAAGAUAUUGCUGUGAUUGCCUCAGAGGUGUUACACAGAGCUGGCUGCAGCUGUGACAUGCUGCGGAUCUAUGCUGUGCUGUACACUUUUUGUUACAAUGGAAAGGUGCAUAAAUGAGGUUCUAAACAGACCAAAGGGUUUCAGGAAAACAGUCUCAUGACUGUGAAUGUAAAGGAAAUGAGGAAAGUCAAUGGUUAUCACCUACUGGGUCCUAUUUUCUGGUUACUGGCAAACUACAUGCAAAUCUUGUUUAUCUCCACCCCAUAGACCCCAUAAUUUAUUCUUACCUUAUUCUUACCUUAUUUAUUCUUAUUCUUGACAAAGGUGGGUACUGGUUUUCUUCUUGCAGUAAGAAGCAGCACUGCAAGGGCCAGGGCAGAACCAAGUCUGUCAGUCUUGGUUUCUUCCUCCUAAAAGAGGGGAAAAAAUUCUGUGGGUUUUGGCAAUGAGGAACAGGAAUAAGAAAGCAGAAGGAUGAUGCUACUAUGCUUGAUGAGAGGAAAAAAAAAAAGGAAGAGACAACCUUGGGCCCAAACAAUGCCUUCCCCCAAAAACAUUUGAAAAUUGAGCUGAGGCUGCUAUAGGAAAAUUUCCUAUUUGUUCCAACACACCAAAGGGAGCAGUGGGUCUUUAAAGAAUGAUGCACAAAUUCAGUGGGAACAACUGGUUUAUUCAGGUUGGAGAAGAGGAGAUGGAGGGAAGACUUCUC
Long non-coding RNA from Parus major (Great Tit), 939 nucleotides. Lineage: Eukaryota; Metazoa; Chordata; Aves; Passeriformes; Paridae. The record is from Ensembl.